Molecule: long non-coding RNA, 202 nt
Organism: Pseudopipra pipra
Lineage: Eukaryota; Metazoa; Chordata; Aves; Passeriformes; Pipridae
Exons: 2
Source: RefSeq, a predicted model, not a curated record
UCUUCUAGGUCUGCCCACCGCACCUAUGGAGAAUACCUUAUCAGCAUAACCUCUUAAGAAAUCCUGAUACAAGUCUAGGCUUUCCACUGCAAGUAAGAGCAUAAGAAUACUAAUUUGUAUUCAUUUUCCUUCACAGUUCCACAUCUCCCCUGUAGCUCUUCAUGGUAAUGCAGAUCCCUUGCAUUUAUCCUGUUCAAACAUA